UUCUUUCUCUCUCAAUUAAUAAAGAGUUAUUCUUUGUGUGGUCGUGGAGUAGACAAAAAUUGUCGAAUCACGUAAAUCUUGUCUUGUCUUGUGAAAUUUAUUGCUUCUCUCCUAAAUAUCAUUUUCAUUCUAUUAUCUUGACACGCUUCCUCAACACAAGUUUAUAUUUUAGUUAUGCUUUGGUAAGAUAACUUUAUGUGACUCAAAAAAUAGUGACUUUUAUGUUAUAAAACUUUAUUGGAUGACCAUCAGCGAAAUUUUUCCAAAAAGUAUCUCAUGAAUCAUGUAUGAAUGCUUCUUGAAAAUUCUUCUCAAAGCAUUUUCAAUAGGAAAAUUCGUCAUGUUAAAGAUGUUAGGCCUAUGGCAUGUUGGUCUAUUAUAUAUAAUUAAGUUGAUAGCAAAGAUUCUUGCUGCUAAGCUAUUUCCUAGUAGCCCCAUCUCAAUAUGCUUUUAUUAGGGAAGGCACGUUAUUCUUGAUAAUGCAAUUCUUGCACGUGAACAGAAGAGAUAUUCAAGAACUGGAGUGUCUCUAAUUACGUGUAUGAUUUAUUGGAUAUAAGAAAAACUUAAUUACGAUUCAGUAAAAUAGGGUUUUUUAAAGGAUGCUAUUACUUGAAUUUGGUCUUCCCCUGAAGCUGGACAAUUUUAUAAUGUGUUAUUCUCUGCUGAUAAAUAUUUGGCCUACUCUAACUUUCCAUGCAAAGAAAUGGCUAAGGCAAGAAGCUCGAAUGUUUCCUAAUUACCUCUUUGUGUUAGCAAUGAAGUACCUCAAUAAAUCACUGAAGCACAAUUCAGAUUUUAACUAUCACCCCAGAUGCUCAAAAAUGGAUUUAGUUCAUAUUUGCUUUGCUUAUGACCUUCUUAUGUGUUGCAGGGAUGACAGGAUUUCCAUUAAACUGUUGCAACUUUUAAUCACUACUCUGAAGUCUCUGGUCUUCAAGCAAAUUAACUUGGAGAAAAGCUCACUUUAUGUAGCUGGGUUAAGCCAUGAGUUCUGAACACAAAUAUAAUUAUCUUGGAAAACCUUUAUCUUAGAAAGCUUACAAUUAGGCAAGUGUAUGGCUCUAGUUGACCAGAUAAUUGGUAGAGUCAAAGGUCGGUCUACUAAGUUUCUGUCAUACAGUGGGAGAGAGUUCAACUUAUAAAGAGUGUGUUAGUAUUUGAGAUGCAAACAUAUUGAACCUAGGUGUUUUUGCUGCCAAAACUGAUCUUUAAACUGGUGACUAAUUUCUGUAUCAUGACCUUCUUAUGGACUGAUAGCAAUAAGUUACCAAUGAAAGCUUUAAAUUUCUUAGACUAGUAUUAGGGAAAAAUAAUAUAAUAUAUAGUAUUAGUUUUGGUAUUAUUAAUUUCUUGUUUUAUUUCAAC
RNAcentral lists this long non-coding RNA (1368 nucleotides) under Nicotiana tabacum (common tobacco). Its description in RNAcentral is "long non-coding RNA (NTAB_LNC015047)". The record is from RNAcentral. Lineage: Eukaryota; Viridiplantae; Streptophyta; Magnoliopsida; Solanales; Solanaceae.